This 714-nucleotide ribosomal RNA is filed under the name Pseudogymnoascus sp. Its description in RNAcentral is "partial large subunit ribosomal RNA". It matches the Rfam family "Eukaryotic large subunit ribosomal RNA", at positions 82 to 817 of the family's 3401-position model. Lineage: Eukaryota; Fungi; Ascomycota; Leotiomycetes; Thelebolales; Thelebolaceae. The record is from RNAcentral.
AGUAACGGCGAGUGAAGCGGUAACAGCUCAAAUUUGAAAUCUGGCCUCACGGUCCGAGUUGUAAUUUGUAGAGGAUGCUUCGAGCAUGGUCUGGCCUAAGUUCCUUGGAACAGGACGUCAUAGAGGGUGAGAAUCCCGUAUGCGGCCAGGUGCCUACGCUCAUGUGAAGCUCCUUCGACGAGUCGAGUUGUUUGGGAAUGCAGCUCAAAAUGGGUGGUAAAUUUCAUCUAAAGCUAAAUAUUGGCCAGAGACCGAUAGCGCACAAGUAGAGUGAUCGAAAGAUGAAAAGCACUUUGGAAAGAGAGUUAAACAGUACGUGAAAUUGUUGAAAGGGAAGCGCUUGCAACCAGACUUGCGCGCGGCCGAUCAUCCGGUGUUCUCACCGGUGCACUCGGCCGUGCUCAGGCCAGCAUCGGUUUUGGCGGCUGGAUAAAGGCCCUAGGAAUGUGGCUCCUCUCGGGGAGUGUUAUAGCCUAGGGUGCAAUGCAGCCUGCUGGGACCGAGGACCGCGCUUCGGCUAGGAUGCUGGCGUAAUGGUUGUAAGCGGCCCGUCUUGAAACACGGACCAAGGAGUCUAACAUCUAUGCGAGUGUUUGGGUGUCAAACCCAUACGCGUAAUGAAAGUGAACGGAGGUGAGAACCCUUAAGGGUGCAUCAUCGACCGAUCCUGAUGUCUUCGGAAGGAUUUGAGUAAGAGCAUAGCUGUUGGGACCC